Long non-coding RNA from Papaver somniferum (opium poppy), 1281 nucleotides. RefSeq lists it as uncharacterized. The record is from RefSeq and is a predicted model, not a curated record. NCBI's taxonomy places the organism in Eukaryota, Viridiplantae, Streptophyta, Magnoliopsida, Ranunculales, Papaveraceae. The transcript is spliced from 2 exons.
CAUCAAUUUGGUUUCUUCUCUAUGCCAUCCAACGGCCUGUAAUUUUCCUUUCCACAUAAAGUUUAUAGGAAAACCUAAUUCCUUUGGAUAACUCUUUUCAUUCCUCUCUCUCGUAGAAGCAGUUGCGCCUCCUUCUCCUACUUUUCUCAUCUUCUUCUUUCCUCCAUCUUAGAUUCUCAAUAGAUCUUGUUCUCAUUGGGUUAAUUGAUAAAAUUUGUUUGUUAAUUGUUGUUCAUUGGGUUGGAUUUACUAACGAAUGAUUCAAAAUUUUUGAUUUUGUUAUUAAGAUAUUUCUUUGUCUGCAAUGAUUGAUUGUAGUAAUAACAGUGUUUAGGUAUUAAGGUUUCGUUUCUUAUUCCUCUAUAUUGAUCUGCAUCUCUAUGCCUCUCUCUUCAUAUCCAUGUUUUCCUUUAAGAUUUGUUACUAAUCAGGGCUUCAUGCUUUGAUGUGUAAACAGAACAGUUAUCUCUUUGCCGUUUUGGACCAUAAAUUAAUUAAAAUCUAUAUGAAAUUGGUUGCAUUAGGAGUUUUUGAUUUUCUCAAAUGGGUCUGAUUUUUUUUUUCUAUCUUUGAAUGAAUAAAUUAUCACAAAAUAUCAGAUUUUAUUGAUAGGUUUCUUAUUCAGUUGGUCUCGUUUAUCCAUUAAAUGAUUGAGUUUGUUAAUUUGAUUUUUAUUUGUUUAGAAUUUCUAAUUCAUCUUCCUCUGUAUCUAGAUGCAUCUGUCAUCUUUUCCAUAAAGAUUUGUUAUUAAUCAAGAUUUCAAGCUUAUUGUUCUCUUUAUAAAGUUUUGUUGUCUACACUGAUAAUAUGUCUUUGGUCGUUUGGACCAUAAGUUACUUAACUCAUCUAUAUAUAUAAAUAUGAUUCUUUGAUUUUUUUUUUUCAAUGGGUCUGAUUUUUUUUUUCUUUGGUUCGGAAUAAACAAAUCAAGUGAAGUUUGCUCCUACGCAUACUUUGAAGAAGGACCAAAGUUCACAUUUUUGGGGAGGAAGAAACCAGAUUUAGGAUGAGUACUCUUAUGAUCUAGAAAUCAGAGCUAAAAGAACAGAUCGAAGGAUGUUAGAUUGCAGAUCUAUUUAAGAUUGUCCUGUGAAAUUCAAGAACUUUGAUGGGUGCAGGUUGAAGUUGUUGUUUCAAUGGUGCCAUGUAUCAUUAGAUUUUAAUUUUCUUUCCCAGAGAUUGUAUUUCAUUUUUGUAAAAAUAUGAGAUUGUAAAUUGACUAAUAAAUGAUGUUGUAAAUUGAAUUUUGUGAUAAUAAAUUAAAAUUAAUGUUGCAUUAAA